UUCCGGUUGAUCCCGCCGGACCUGACUGCUAUCGGAUUGAUACCAAGCCAUGCGAGUCAUUGUAGUAAUACAAGGCAGACGGCUCAGUAACGCGUAGUCAACCUACCCUAUGGACGGGAAUAACCUCGGGAAACUGAGAAUAAUGCCCGAUAGAACAUUAUGCCUGGAAUGGUUUAUGUUCCAAAUGAUUUAUUGCCGUAGGAUGGGACUGCGGCCUAUCAGUUUGUUGGUGAGGUAAUGGCCCACCAAGACUAUUACAGGUACGGGCUCUGAGAGGAGUAGCCCGGAGAUGGGUACUGAGACACGGACCCAGGCCCUAUGGGGCGCGGCAGGCGAGAAAACUUUGCAAUGUGCGAAAGCACGACAAGGUUAAUCCGAGUGGUUUCUGCUAAAGGAACCUUUUGUCAGUCCUAGAAACACUGGUGAAUAAGGGGUGGGCAAGUUCUGGUGUCAGCCGCCGCGGUAAAACCAGCACCUCAAGUGGUCAGGAUGAUUAUUGGGCCUAAAGCAUCCGUAGCCUGCUUUGUUAGUUUUCGGUUAAAUCCAUACGCUUAACGUAUGGGCUGCCGGGAAUACUGCAAAGCUAGGGAGUGGGAGAGGUAGACGGUACUCGGUAGGAAGGGGUAAAAUCCUUUGAUCUAUUGAUGACCACCUGUGGCGAAGGCGGUCUACCAGAACACGUCCGACGGUGAGGGAUGAAAGCUGGGGGAGCAAACCGGAUUAGAUACCCGGGUAGUCCCAGCUGUAAACUAUGCAAACUCGGUGAUGCAUUGGCUUGAUGCCAAUGCAGUGCCGCACGGAAGCCGUUAAGUUUGCCGCCUGGGAAGUACGUACGCAAGUAUGAAACUUAAACGAAUUGGCGGGGGAGCACCACAAGGGUGAAGCCUGCGGUUCAAUUGGAGUCAACGCCGGGAA
RNAcentral lists this ribosomal RNA (915 nucleotides) under uncultured archaeon. RNAcentral's name for it is "bacterial SSU rRNA". It matches the Rfam family "Archaeal small subunit ribosomal RNA", at positions 1 to 924 of the family's 1478-position model. The record is from RNAcentral.